RNAcentral lists this ribosomal RNA (468 nucleotides) under uncultured bacterium. RNAcentral's name for it is "partial 16S ribosomal RNA". It matches the Rfam family "Bacterial small subunit ribosomal RNA", at positions 28 to 507 of the family's 1533-position model. The record is from RNAcentral.
GACGAACGCUGGCGGCGUGCUUAACACAUGCAAGUCGAACGGAAAGGCCCUGCUUUUGUGGGGUGCUCGAGUGGCGAACGGGUGAGUAACACGUGAGUAACCUGCCCUUGACUUUGGGAUAACUUCAGGAAACUGGGGCUAAUACCGGAUAGGAGCUCCUGCUGCAUGGUGGGGGUUGGAAAGUUUCGGCGGUUGGGGAUGGACUCGCGGCUUAUCAGCUUGUUGGUGGGGUAGUGGCUUACCAAGGCUUUGACGGGUAGCCGGCCUGAGAGGGUGACCGGCCACAUUGGGACUGAGAUACGGCCCAGACUCCUACGGGAGGCAGCAGUGGGGAAUAUUGCACAAUGGGCGGAAGCCUGAUGCAGCAACGCCGCGUGCGGGAUGAUGGCCUUCGGGUUGUAAACCGCUUUCGCCUGUGACGAAGCGUGAGUGACGGUAACGGGUAAAGAAGCACCGGCUAACUACGUG